AUAACAAAAUCAACAACAAAAUGUAAUUUGACAAAUUUACCGUGUUAAACAAGUUUUCAAGAUUCACAAGUUAUAAAACAUCAAUAAAUUAAUUGGUACAUCAAGCUUUUGUGUUUCCAAGAAUGUAAUUGCAAAACUCAAAAUUAAUACUGUAAACAAUUGCACAUAUACCUACUAUGUGUAUUCCUCAAAAUUACUACCAUCUCUUUUUCUUUUAUUUUUGACAUAAUUUUGAAUUACUUAAUAGAUGACCUGGCAAAUUUACCAGUUAAAUUUUACUUACUUUGAAGAGACUCAAAAGCAAAUUACAGUGUUAUGGAUUCACAGUUAAGUUUAAAAAUGAAGAAGCUAAAAAGGCAAAGUAAUCAUUUUAUGAGGGAAAGAAGUGAUUCCGACAUUCAAAGUCUUUUUAUGCCAAAACGGAUUCCAAAAUCUAAAUAUCAAAUGAUGUUUACAUUUUGUGUCUCUUGGGUGUUAAAAUACCACUAUCCUAUAAUUCCUUGUACUAUAAAAUCUGAAAUGAAAAAUGUAGUUCUGGAUAUCAAAGAAAAAGUAAAGAAUUAUGAAGAAAAAGUUCAAACGCAUCCUAUAGAUAAAUAAAACCAUUAUGCCAGUACUAAACUAAUAAUAAAACUAUUAAUCUUUAAUUGAC
Macrosteles quadrilineatus (aster leafhopper) is the source of this 652-nucleotide long non-coding RNA. RefSeq lists it as uncharacterized. Lineage: Eukaryota; Metazoa; Arthropoda; Insecta; Hemiptera; Cicadellidae. The record is from RefSeq and is a predicted model, not a curated record. The transcript is spliced from 2 exons.